This 379-nucleotide ribosomal RNA is filed under the name uncultured cyanobacterium. Its description in RNAcentral is "bacterial SSU rRNA". It matches the Rfam family "Bacterial small subunit ribosomal RNA", at positions 376 to 770 of the family's 1533-position model. The record is from RNAcentral. Lineage: Bacteria; Bacillati; Cyanobacteriota.
CGCAAGCCUGACGGAGCAACGCCGCGUGAGGGAGGAAGGCCUGUGGGUUGUAAACCUCUUUUCUCUGGGAAGAAGACCUGACGGUACCAGAGGAAUCAGCAUCGGCUAACUCCGUGCCAGCAGCCGUGGUAAGACGGAGGAUGCAAGCGUUAUCCGGAAUUAUUGGGCGUAAAGCGUCCGCAGGCGGCCAAUUAAGUCUGCUGUCAAAGCCUAGGGCUCAACCCUAGAUCGGCAGUGGAAACUGGUUGGCUAGAGUACGGUAGGGGUAGAGGGAAUUCCCAGUGUAGCGGUGAAAUGCGUAGAUAUUGGGAAGAACACCAGUGGCGAAGGCGCUCUACUGGGCCGAAACUGACGCUGAGGGACGAAAGCUAGGGGAGCG